GAAAUUUGACAAAGGGGGGAACCCCGAUCCAGCCAUCCCGGGGGUGUGAAGAAGGUCUUUGGGUUGUAAAGCACUUUAAGUUGGGGGGAAGGGCAGUAUGUUAAUACCUUGCUGUUUUGACGUUACCGACUGAAUAAGCACCGGGUAAAUUCGAGCCAGCAGCCGCGGUAAUAAGAAGGGUGCAAGCGUUAAUCGGAAUUACUGGGGGUAAAGCGGGAGUAGGUGGUUUGUUAAAUUGGAAGAGAAAGCCCCGGGCUCAACCUGGGAACUGCUUUCAAAACUGGCAAGCUAGAGUAUGGCAGAGGGUGGUGGAAUUUCCUGUGUAGCGGUGAAAUGCGUAGAUAUAGGAAGGAACACCAGUGGCGAAGGCGACUACCUGGACUGAUACUGACACUGAGGUGCGAAAGCGUGGGGAGCAA
This 419-nucleotide ribosomal RNA is filed under the name uncultured bacterium. Its description in RNAcentral is "partial 16S ribosomal RNA". It matches the Rfam family "Bacterial small subunit ribosomal RNA", at positions 359 to 771 of the family's 1533-position model. The record is from RNAcentral.